This 651-nucleotide ribosomal RNA is filed under the name Triticum aestivum (bread wheat). RNAcentral describes it as "partial small subunit ribosomal RNA". Lineage: Eukaryota; Viridiplantae; Streptophyta; Magnoliopsida; Poales; Poaceae. The record is from RNAcentral.
AUGGUGUUGCUUGACAUUAGGGGUAUGUUGCAGUACAUGGGCAAAGACAUAGUUAAUUUCGAUCUUCCGAGCAUCGACAAUACGUUCGACCCAACCGGGGCCGAGGCUAGAGAGGUGAUCGAGGAAUCCCCCGUCGAGUAUGACGUGAACGACAGUAAAUUGGCAUCACCACUGAACUUCGAGUAGAGGGUUGCGUAUGAUGAGAUACUAGCGGUAGUUGACCGCGAUGAUGGGGGUAUAUUCUUUUUUGAUGGGCCAGGGGGUACAGGAAAGACCUUCCUAUACAGGGCACUGGCCAAGGUUCGGAGCGAGGGCAACAUCGCUAUCGCUACCGCAAUGUCGGGCAUCGCCACUUCUAUCAUGCCUGGAGGCAGGACUGCCCACUCGAGGUUCAAGAUCCUGUUGAGCUGCGAUGAUGGUGCCUCAUGCAGCUUCACCAAGCAGAGUGGGACCGCCAAGAUGCUAAGGAUGGCCUCAUUGAUACUAUGGGACGAGGCCACCAUAACUAAGCGACUGGCAGUCGACGCACUGGACAACAACAUGCAUGACAUCAUGGGAAGACGGGACCGACCCUUUGGAGGAAAUGAUGUAGUUUUUGGCGGAGGCUUCAGGAAGGUGCUUCCGGUCGUCAGGAGGGGGUCUCCAGGUUAG